Molecule: ribosomal RNA, 321 nt
Filed under: Saturnispora bothae
Lineage: Eukaryota; Fungi; Ascomycota; Pichiomycetes; Pichiales; Pichiaceae
Description: SSU rRNA
Rfam family: Eukaryotic small subunit ribosomal RNA
Source: RNAcentral
GGAGCCAGCAAGUGUCCUUGGCCGAGAGGCCUGGGGAAGCUCGUGAAACUCCGUCGUGCUGGGGAUAGAGCAUUGUAAUUUUUGCUCUUCAACGAGGAAUUCCUAGUAAGCGCAAGUCAUUAACUUGCGUUGAUUACGUCCCUGCCCUUUGUACACACCGCCCGUCGUUACUAUCGAUGAAUGGCCAAGUGAGCCCUCAAGACGGCCACUGCACGGGGGGCGACCUCUGCGCGGCGGCUGAAAUCUGUGCAAACUUGGUCAUUUAGAGAAAGUACAAGUCGUAACAAGGUUACUGUAGGUGAACCUGCAGUAGGAUCAUUA